Molecule: ribosomal RNA, 253 nt
Filed under: uncultured bacterium
Lineage: Bacteria
Description: partial 16S ribosomal RNA
Rfam family: Bacterial small subunit ribosomal RNA
Source: RNAcentral
UACGUAGGGGGCGAGCGUUGUCCGGAAUCAUUGGGCGUAAAGAGCGUGUAGGCGGUUCGAUAAGUCGGCUGUGAAAGUCCAGGGCUCAACCCUGGGAUGCCGGUCGAAACUGUCGGACUAGAGUUCGGAAGAGGCGAGUGGAAUUCCCGGUGUAGCGGUGAAAUGCGCAGAUAUCGGGAGGAACACCAAUGGCGAAGGCAGCUCGCUGGGACGUUACUGACGCUGAGACGCGAAAGCGUGGGGAGCAAACAGG